AGGACGAACGCUGGCGGCGUGCUUAACACAUGCAAGUCGAGCGGAAAGGCCAUUUCGGUGGUACUCGAGCGGCGAACGGGUGAGUAACACGUGAGUAAUCUGCCCCUGGCUUUGGGAUAGCCACCGGAAACGGUGAUUAAUACCGGAUACGACCCGCCCUCGCAUGGGGGGUGUGUGGAAAGUUUUUCGGCCAGGGAUGUGCUCGCGGCCUAUCAGCUUGAUGGUGGGGUAAUGGCUCACCAUGGCUUCGACGGGUAGCCGGCCUGAGAGGGUGACCGGUCACGACGUGGGACUGAGACACGGCCCAGACUCCUACGGGAGGCAGCAGGUGGGGGAAUAUUGGACAAGUGGGCGGAAGCCUGAUCCAGCAACGCCGCGUGAGGGAUGACGGUCCGUUCGGGUACGUAAACCUUCGUU
RNAcentral lists this ribosomal RNA (417 nucleotides) under uncultured soil bacterium. RNAcentral's name for it is "bacterial SSU rRNA". It matches the Rfam family "Bacterial small subunit ribosomal RNA", at positions 26 to 437 of the family's 1533-position model. The record is from RNAcentral.